GCUCUUUCAGACGGAAAGAAAUCUCCUGGGCUAAUACCCCGGGAGGAUGACGGUACCGUAAGAAGAAGCACCGGCUAACUACGUGCCAGCAGCCGCGGUAAUA
This 103-nucleotide ribosomal RNA is filed under the name uncultured Zoogloea sp. RNAcentral describes it as "partial 16S ribosomal RNA". It matches the Rfam family "Bacterial small subunit ribosomal RNA", at positions 430 to 525 of the family's 1533-position model. The record is from RNAcentral. Lineage: Bacteria; Pseudomonadati; Pseudomonadota; Betaproteobacteria; Rhodocyclales; Zoogloeaceae.